Molecule: ribosomal RNA, 253 nt
Filed under: uncultured bacterium
Lineage: Bacteria
Description: partial 16S ribosomal RNA
Rfam family: Bacterial small subunit ribosomal RNA
Source: RNAcentral
UACGAAGGGGGCUAGCGUUGUUCGGAAUCACUGGGCGUAAAGGGCGCGUAGGCGGCUUUGUAAGUCGGGCGUGAAAGCCUGUGGCUCAACCACAGAAUUGCCUUCGAUACUGCAUGGCUUGAGACCGGAAGAGGUUAGUGGAACUGCGAGUGUAGAGGUGAAAUUCGUAGAUAUUCGCAAGAACACCAGUGGCGAAGGCGGCUGACUGGUCCGGUUCUGACGCUGAGGCGCGAAAGCGUGGGGAGCAAACAGG